AUUGAACGCUGGCGGAAUGCUUUACACAUGCAAGUCGAACGGUAGAGGGGGCAACCCCUCGAGAGUGGCGAACGGGUGAGUAAUAUAUCGGAACGUGCCCAGUCGUGGGGGAUAACGUAGCGAAAGUUACGCUAAUACCGCAUACGAUCUACGGAUGAAAGCGGGGGACCCGUAAGGCCUCGCGCGAUUGGAGCGGCCGAUAUCAGAUUAGGUAGUUGGUGGGGUAAAGGCCCACCAAGGCGACGAUCUGUAGCUGGUCUGAGAGGACGACCAGCCACACUGGGACUGAGACACGGCCCAGACUCCUACGGGAGGCAGCAGUGGGGAAUUUUGGACAAUGGGCGCAAGCCUGAUCCAGCAAUGCCGCGUGCAGGAAGAAGGCCUUCGGGUUGUAAACUGCUUUUGUACGGAACGAAAAGGUCUGGGUUAAUACCCUGGGCUCAUGACGGUACCGUAAGAAUAAGCACCGGCUAACUACGUG
RNAcentral lists this ribosomal RNA (481 nucleotides) under uncultured bacterium. RNAcentral describes it as "bacterial SSU rRNA". It matches the Rfam family "Bacterial small subunit ribosomal RNA", at positions 30 to 507 of the family's 1533-position model. The record is from RNAcentral.